ACGAACGCUGGCGGCGUGCUUAACCCCUGCAAGUCGAACGGAAAGGCCCUGCUUUUGUGGGGUGCUCGAGUGGCGAACGGGUGAGUAACACGUGAGUAACCUGCCCUUGACUUUGGGAUAACUUCAGGAAACUGGGGCUAAUACCGGAUAGGAGCUCCUGCUGCAUGGUGGGGGUUGGAAAGUUUCGGCGGUUGGGGAUGGACUCGCGGCUUAUCAGCUUGUUGGUGGGUAGUGGCUUACCAAGGCUUUGACGGGUAGCCGGCCUGAGAGGGUGACCGGCCACAUUGGGACUGAGAUACGGCCCAGACUCCUACGGGAGGCAGCAGUGGGGAAUAUUGCACAAUGGGCGGAAGCCUGAUGCAGCAACGCCGCGUGCGGGAUGACGGCCUUCGGGUUGUAAACCGCUUUCGCCUGUGACGAAGCGUGAGUGACGGUAAUGGGUAAAGAAGCACCGGCUAACUACGUG
Molecule: ribosomal RNA, 466 nt
Filed under: uncultured bacterium
Lineage: Bacteria
Description: partial 16S ribosomal RNA
Rfam family: Bacterial small subunit ribosomal RNA
Source: RNAcentral